UUUUAAUUUUUAGUUUUUCACGCAUUAAUUAAAAGGCUGCCAUUAAUUAGUUUCCAAAAAAUGUAAAGAUAUGUUAGUAUACAUUAUAACCACCAUUGUACAAAUUACUCUUACUUAGAUAAAGAGAAAAUAUGAUCCCGAUAAAGGUUUAAGAUAAGCCGCAUGGAUAUUGAGUAUCGCUUUUAUUUAAAUUGAAACGGCAUAACAUAAUUUGCGACUGUACGUGCCUUUGUUCAAAAUUGUUAAAUUAACCACACGCUUAAACAACAUAAACCUAAGUAAUAAAUACAAUAUUAAAUAAAUCGCAAUAUAGGCGCACAAUUCCUGCAUAGACAAAAUACACAUAGUUCUCGUAUUUAACAUGAGAUUACUUACUAAUAAUUAAAAGAUUGGAAAAGAGAAUUAACAUACAUAUUAAGUCGAAGCUUUCGCAUCUGGGUUCAAGCCUUUUUUGAUCAAAUGGUUGUUAAAAGGUGGAAUAAUAUCAGCGACCAGUGGCUUAAAUGGAGGAACCGAGACAAAAAAUCAGAAGCUGCUUUAUCAAAACUGAGAAAGUAUGUGUAUUACGAACAACUAAAUUUUCUCGAGAAGGGUUUAUAUCACCGGUCAACUGAGUCUAACAUGGCCUAUAAGCAGACAGAUGAGGCAGGUCAGCAGGAAACAGAAGAACUUCAAUCAGCAGAUCGAGGGAUGGAGACUCCAGAUGCAACCCACCAAAUUUCGCAAACUCCAUCUGCAAAAAACCUUACCGUAAAGACUACAGGUGUACAGCAGUCAACGAUCAAGAGAAAGCGAACUCUCGACGAAUUUGAACUAAGGAUGCUAAAAUCAAUUGAGGCAGGAGACCAAGAGGACCAUAAUAUGAAAUUUUUAAGGGCAUUCUUUCUUCUAUUUAAAAGUUCAAUGACAACCAGAUUGUAGAUUUUCAGAUGGGAGUUCUGCAGGUGAUUAAAAACAUUCAGAACGCUGUUUUUAUUCUAACAACCCAACAUCAACAGCUGCAGAUUUAUACUCUCCCAUACUCUCAAAAACAAACACAACAAUACCCCUGCAACAAUCCAUUGCAGAACUCUCAGCAGUAUCAGUCUUCUGGCCUUUCAUACACUUCACUGCUACCCAGUGUCUCCAAUCAACAUCGAAUGAUUCCAUCAAGUAACAAUUCCACUAACGUAAUAUCUCCACCUUACCUGUCUCCUGAUUCUAAUGACACACAAUCUACGAGUAAUUAUAACGAUUUGUCAUCCCCUUUCUCACAGAAUUCAGAUAUUGACUUUUGAUUUUUUUGAAGUGGAAAUAUAGGUAUUCUUUUAUUAAAAUAGAAUAUUGACCUAAAAUGUA
Molecule: long non-coding RNA, 1338 nt
Organism: Anthonomus grandis grandis
Lineage: Eukaryota; Metazoa; Arthropoda; Insecta; Coleoptera; Curculionidae
Exons: 2
Source: RefSeq, a predicted model, not a curated record